Molecule: ribosomal RNA, 490 nt
Filed under: uncultured bacterium
Lineage: Bacteria
Description: bacterial SSU rRNA
Rfam family: Bacterial small subunit ribosomal RNA
Source: RNAcentral
GACGAACGCUGGCGGCGCGCCUAACACAUGCAAGUCGAACGGAGUUAUUUUGGCAGAAGCCUUCGGGUGGACGCUGAUAUAACUUAGUGGCGAACGGGUGAGUAACACGUGAGCAACCUGCCCUUCAGAGGGGGACAACAGUUGGAAACGACUGCUAAUACCGCAUAAGACCAUGGUAUCGCAUGAUACAGUGUGAAAAACUCCGGUGGUAUAAGAUGGACCCGCGUCUGAUUAGCUUGUUGGUGAGGCAACGGCCCACCAAGGCGACGAUCAGUAGCCGGCCUGAGAGGGUGAACGGCCACAUUGGGACUGAGACACGGCCCAAAACUCCUACGGGAGGCAGCAGUGGGGAAUAUUGCACAAUGGGGGAAACCCUGAUGCAGCGACGCCGCGUGAGUGAUGAAGUAUUUCGGUAUGUAAAACUCUAUCAGCAGGGAAGAUAAUGACGGUACCUGACUAAGAAGCACCGGCUAAAUACGUGCCAGCAGCC